RNAcentral lists this ribosomal RNA (292 nucleotides) under uncultured bacterium. Its description in RNAcentral is "partial 16S ribosomal RNA". It matches the Rfam family "Bacterial small subunit ribosomal RNA", at positions 505 to 796 of the family's 1533-position model. The record is from RNAcentral.
GUGUCAGCAGCCGCGGUAAUACGGGGGGGGCGAGCGUUGUUCGGAAUUACUGGGCGUAAAGGGUUUGUAGGUGGCCUGCUAAGUCAGACGUGAAAUCCCUCAGCUUAACUGGGGAACUGCGUCUGAUACUGGUGGGCUUGAGGACAGGAGAGGAACGCGGAAUUCCAGGUGUAGCGGUGAAAUGCGUAGAUAUCUGGAGGAACACCGGUGGCGAAGGCGGCGUUCUGGACUGUUUCUGACACUGAAAAACGAAAGCCAGGGGAGCAAACGGGAUUAGAUACCCCCGUAGUCC